AGAGACAGCAGCCGCCGCGGGAAUACGGAGGGUGCAAGCGUUAAUCGGAAUUACUGGGCGUAAAGCGCACGCAGGCGGUCUGACAAGUCAGAUGUGAAAUCCCCGGGCUUAACCUGGGAACUGCAUUUGAAACUGUCAGGCUGGAGUCUUGUAGAGGGGGGUGGAAUUCCAGGUGUAGCGGUGAAAUGCGUAGAGAUCUGGAGGAAUACCGGUGGCGAAGGCGGCCCCCUGGACAAAGACUGACGCUCAGGUGCGAAAGCGUGGGGAGCAAACAGGAUUAGAUACCCCGGUAGUCCCUGUCUCUUAUAA
Molecule: ribosomal RNA, 309 nt
Filed under: uncultured bacterium
Lineage: Bacteria
Description: partial 16S ribosomal RNA
Rfam family: Bacterial small subunit ribosomal RNA
Source: RNAcentral